RNAcentral lists this ribosomal RNA (1244 nucleotides) under metagenome. RNAcentral's name for it is "bacterial SSU rRNA". It matches the Rfam family "Bacterial small subunit ribosomal RNA", at positions 242 to 1515 of the family's 1533-position model. The record is from RNAcentral.
UAGCUAGUUGGUGAGGUAAUGGCCCACCAAGGCGACGAUCGGUAGCCGGACUGAGAGGUUGAACGGCCACAUUGGGACUGAGACACGGCCCAGACUCCUACGGGAGGCAGCAGUGGGGAAUAUUGCACAAUGGGGGAAACCCUGAUGCAGCGACGCCGCGUGGAGGAAGAAGGUCUUCGGAUUGUAAACUCCUGUUGUUGAGGAAGAUAAUGACGGUACUCAACAAGGAAGUGACAGCUAACUACGUGCCAGCAGCCGCGGUAAAACGUAGGUCACAAGCGUUGUCCGGAAUUACUGGGUGUAAAGGGAGCGCAGGCGGGCGAUCAAGUUGGAAGUGAAAUCCAUGGGCUCAACCCAUGAACUGCUUUCAAAACUGAUUGUCUUGAGUAGUGCAGAGGUAGGCGGAAUUCCCGGUGUAGCGGUGGAAUGCGUAGACAUCGGGAGGAACACCAGUGGCGAAGGCGGCCUACUGGGCACCAACUGACGCUGAGGCUCGAAAGUGUGGGUAGCAAACAGGAUUAGAUACCCUGGUAGUCCACACCGUAAACGAUGAUUACUAGGUGUUGGAGGAUUGACCCCUUCAGUGCCGCAGUUAACACAAUAAGUAAUCCACCUGGGGAGUACGACCGCAAGGUUGAAACUCAAAGGAAUUGACGGGGGCCCGCACAAGCAGUGGAGUAUGUGGUUUAAUUCGACGCAACGCGAAGAACCUUACCAAGUCUUGACAUCCUGCGACGAUGCUAGAAAUAGUAUUUUCCUUCGGGACGCAGAGACAGGUGGUGCAUGGUUGUCGUCAGCUCGUGUCGUGAGAUGUUGGGUUAAGUCCCGCAAUGAGCGCAACCCUUAUGGUCAGUUACUACGCAAGAGGACUCUGGCCAGACUGCCGUUGACAAAACGGAGGAAGGUGGGGAUGACGUCAAAUCAUCAUGCCCUUUAUGACUUGGGCUACACACGUACUACAAUGGCGUUAAACAAAGAGAAGCAAGACCGCGAGGUGGAGCAAAACUCAGAAACAACGUCCCAGUUCGGACUGCAGGCUGCAACUCGCCUGCACGAAGUCGGAAUUGCUAGUAAUCGUGGAUCAGCAUGCCACGGUGAAUACGUUCCCGGGCCUUGUACACACCGCCCGUCACACCAUGAGAGCCGGGGGGACCCGAAGUCGGUAGUCUAACCGCAAGGAGGACGCCGCCGAAGGUAAAACUGGUGAUUGGGGUGAAGUCGUAACAAGGUAACCGUACUAGUAC